CAGCCGCCGCGGUAAUACGGAGGAUCCGAGCGUUAUCCGGAAUUAUUGGGUUUAAAGGGUGCGUAGGCGGAUAGAUAAGUCAGUGGUAAAAGACGGUGGCUCAACCAUCGCAGUGCCGUUGAUACUGUUUAUCUUGAAUAUGGAUGAGGUAGGCGGAAUGUGGCAAGUAGCGGUGAAAUGCAUAGAUAUGCCACAGAACACCGAUUGCGAAGGCAGCUUACCAAGGCAAAAUUGACGCUGAGGCACGAAAGCGUGGGGAUCGAACAGGAUUAGAGACCCCUGUAGUCCCUGUCUCUUAUAC
Molecule: ribosomal RNA, 301 nt
Filed under: uncultured bacterium
Lineage: Bacteria
Description: partial 16S ribosomal RNA
Rfam family: Bacterial small subunit ribosomal RNA
Source: RNAcentral